Molecule: long non-coding RNA, 1200 nt
Organism: Monodelphis domestica (gray short-tailed opossum)
Lineage: Eukaryota; Metazoa; Chordata; Mammalia; Didelphimorphia; Didelphidae
Source: RefSeq, a predicted model, not a curated record
CUCAAACAAUGUCCCUCCAGCCCCGUGACAGGGCUGAGGCAUUUCAUGAGCAUGUGCUCCAGAGAGAAACCCUCGGAAAACAACUCUCUUAAACAAAUAAACAGCUCAGCUCUUGAACUUUAUGCUCCUAAUCUCUGUCAUCAUUAAUCACAUUCAGAGUUUGACUUUAAAAGCCUGAAAGGAAGAGAAAGGAAAAGAGAAAGGAAGGGAAAAAUAAACUCCUUGCCUCAGAAAACUUGCGAAACAUAUAUAGAAACUUGAAACUCGCCUUUAGGUCCUACAAAAACUAAAGAAAGGAGGGAUGCAAAAAGAGUUCAAAGUGGGUGUCCUGAAAUGGUACCCUAUAAAUUAGCAUGAAUAAAGUCACUCCUGGGCAUGGCACUGGAAGUCAUUAUUUCCACAUUUCUGGGAAUAUCUCUUAUUUGGACCUCCUUAGAAACUCCACGGAGGAGCUGGGAUCCAUUGAUAAAGUUAGCUGAGGCACCUGUAUUUGUGCUCUUUCCCUUACGAUGAAGGAAAUAGUGCCUUGGGGAUGUUAUGCACUUUGCCGGAGAAGUAAAGGGGACCCUGAGAUGACUGGGUAUAAAAAGGAGAGAGAAGUCAAUGACGAAUAGGAGGAGAAAAAGCUGGCCCUGGUGCCAUAUGAUCGGUCCAACAGCCACAGCCACAGCAUUUAUUAUGUAGCUACUGUGUCACAGCUCCAAGCUAGUGCUGAGGGCAUAAAGACUAAAGAUGACACAGUUCCUGCCCUCAAGGAGCUUGUGUUACAUGGGGGAGACAAGGUGUCCCUAUGUUGGUUUGUGCGUGAGAGGAUCUAUACUAGCAUUUGGAAGGAUCCAGAAAGCCUUAUGGGGAGAUGCUGAGCUUGGAAAGAAAAAUUGUGACAAGCUGGUACUAUGACCUGCCCAAAGUCCCUCCAUAAGCAGAGUGGCCUUGGGCUACCUGGGUUUAAUAAUAAGAGAAAAAAGAAUGGCAAACAAAACGGGAGUAUGGGCUUCUCCAACCCUGACUGCUCCCUAGUGUGACCAUCGAGACAACAGAGCUAACUGCUACAUGGGAGCAAAUUUGAUGCAAGACCCAAGAGCAGCUCAUUUAGUGGAGUCCUCCUAAAAGAUCUAUUUCAUCUAUCUCUCAAGUCAUCUUUGAGAGAAAGUUGGGAAUGGGACUAUGUAUUAGCUAAAACUGGCUGGUUCUCUCUUA